This 776-nucleotide long non-coding RNA is filed under the name Equus asinus (donkey). RNAcentral's name for it is "lncRNA (ENSEASG00005029239.1)". Lineage: Eukaryota; Metazoa; Chordata; Mammalia; Perissodactyla; Equidae. The record is from RNAcentral.
GCUAUACCACCCUCACCCUGCUGAUUAUUGGCUUGAAAGUAACUAAAGGGCUGCCAUUGGGACUUCUCUUGUGUGGGGUGAGCUCAGAAGCUUCCAGCACAGCAGUGCGAGCUUUCCAUUCAUGAGGGAUCUGACCCUAGCAACUAUGCAAGGGGGUCAGGACACUGCCACUGGUUACUGGUGUUCACCACCCAUCUCAGUCCCCAGGUCCAAAGCAAGACAGAAGGGACAGUAGAAACUCAUGUCGUCCCAGCCCUGCCACUGACUGGCUCUAAGGAACAACGACUGGAAUUUUGACUGUUUCAGAGUGUGAACUCCCUUCUGUCACCUGGGAAUUCUGGGAGUCUUGGUAGGGACCCUAAAAGAUUCCUGGCUUUUGGAGAGGAGCGGAAAAGCAUAGCAGAAUGUUGUGGAAGAGCUGGAUCUGGGCCCGGCUUUCACCCCUACUGGCCGGGUGGCCUCCCUCUCAGGGCCCUGCCUGCCUGGGAGAGCUGUGGUGAGGUACGAGGCAGAUGAUGCCACUAGAGUUGAUUGCCAUUAGAAGCUCCUCAAAUGACUGUCAACCAGUGGCUGUCACGUGGUGCGGUGCAGAACGAUGCAUAAAGCCAGUGGAAGGUGGUCCUGCCUGACAAGCUUCCGGCCCACCAGAUAAAUAUAGAGACCACGUGCCUCGUGUCUCCUCCUGACCCUUGUACUUUGUCGUUGGUGCUGCUGAGUCAGUCUGACUCCUCGUGACCCUGUGCACAGCAGAGUGGAAUCCUGCCCGGUCUUUUUGC